Molecule: long non-coding RNA, 4676 nt
Organism: Dromaius novaehollandiae (emu)
Lineage: Eukaryota; Metazoa; Chordata; Aves; Casuariiformes; Dromaiidae
Exons: 5
Source: RefSeq, a predicted model, not a curated record
GAAAGUGCCCAUCCCGGCUCAGAGACGGGACACACCGCACGUCGCGGCCGUUCCCGCGGGCCCCUGCCCUGCUUCGGGCCUCACCCACGGCCGAGGCCCCCGCCCGCCGCGCGGGAGCCGCGGCGCCAUUAUGCGAGGCGGGCACAGCACGUCCGCCACGUACUCACGGACCGGCGCGGCGCUGCCUCGUGUCCUCGCGCCUGUAGAAGCAGCUGCCCGAUAAGGCCCGACACUCUUUGGAAUUCGGUACAUCCUUUCUUGGUGACCGAAGCGAUCAAUAGGGACGGUGCAGCCCAAACGCCCGAGCUGGGCGGGACGGGGCAAGGAUGUCGGCUCCCCCGGCAGCCUCCGGAGCGACUCGCCGGCGCCAGCCGGCCGGACUCUCCUGCGCCCAGCGCGACGCAGCGCAGGGGAAGGGCGCACCCUCGCCGCCGCUCAGGAAGAUGGAGCUUUGCAGGAUGCUGACAUGAUGUCACUGGAAUUCCUAUAUGGGACUACAGCAAAACAGCCUGUUGCAAGUCUUUCAAUCCAUAGAUACAGGGACGUUGCCAGCCCACAAGUUAACAUAUCUGAGGCACUGAUUCUGCCACUGUGUGUGUGAAAAUGUCUACCAGAGUGAGUACUUCAGGAAAGGGGGAAUUGUCUGUGAACCAGAGCUUUUUUGCAUUCUCUGAAGUAGUGCUCUGCUGAAGAGUUACCACUCGCCAAACAGAUGAAGGAAAUGAAAAUUUCUAUCACUCACUGAAUGCACGCCUUACAAAACAAGAAAUUCCAAGGGUGUUUUAUUGGUUAUUGUACAAGACCUCCAGCAUAAAGUCACCUAGACAGAGAUUUUCCAUUGACUGCCUUUUCAUAUAUGUACAUGGGUAAGUGUUUAAGGAAUGGAACAUUUUUUUUCAUAUAUGAUUUGUCAGUUUGUCACAAGUUCUAAGCAGUGUAUCUUAUACCACAUUAUUAGUUGGAACAUUGAUUGACAGAUGCUCCACAGAACAUAUUUCUGAGUUGUCAUUCUACAGCAAGUAACACCUACCAUCCCUUUCAGCCUCCUAUCUAGGAUAUAUAAAUUGUACAUAUAGAACAGUGCUGUAAAAGUACUUAAAUUUUCAAUAAAGUGCUGUCUGCAUCAUCUACUUUCCACCAACCUUUGCUGUCUCUCAGUCUUUAGAGAUGAUAGAGCAUUUGUUUACAGGGAACAUUGCAGAAGGAAAGUGUGUGGAAAGCGUGAGGAAUACAGCUUUUGCAAGAUAAUUUAUUUUGCAGACAUCUUGAAGGGCUUUAGUGUCAUCCAUAGGGAGCAGAAGAGUUCCUGAAAUGGAAGUGACACGAAAAAUAAAGCAUUAUGAGCAACAAAUAUGGUAAGUGCUAGAUAGUUCUUGACCUAUUUACAAGUGAAGUGUAGAUCUGUGUGUAUAGUUUUGAAAAAUUUUGAGGAAUUCAGAAUCUGUUCACAAUGACAAAAACACAGGGCUAAAUUCAUUAAAUGAAAUGUUAUUGAAAAUAGCUCUCCUACUGUAAUGGCAAGUGGCUUGUUUAUUUUGCUGAGUAUCAUUGGAAAAUACUACAGAAAAGAGGAAGGAACACUAGAGACAAGCAAGAUCAUCUGCUUAGUAGUAUGAGAUAGAAGUUAAGCUGAAAGGCUUGUCAUUCAGGGGAAGAAAUAGAGUGGUUGUAAUGACAAGAUUUAUAUCUGCAGUUUGCUGUCAAAAAGUAAUUCUUGAUAGCAGGCUUUUCUAUUACUAACAGUUGAAUUGAUGUUUUUGUUUUAUGGGCGAUCAGUAUGAAAAAUCCUUCUUAAAAUGAUCUUUCAACUAUAAUUCUUUUUGUUCCGUACAAGCAGGAUUUCAGCCAAAAUUUUUUCACAAAAAUAUUUCUCUAUUUCUCUUUUUAGAGGAGUACAUCAUCUAACCCCCCCCCCCCACCAAAUGUUAUAUGAAGCAUUUAAGAAUGUUCCUGAAAUAUGUUGCUUGUUAGUUCGAUUUUUGCUUUGUUCAUUGUUGGCUUUCUGGGCUUGUUAAAGGAAGUGAUCUUGCAAGAGAAUUAUUGUUAAUGAACUCAUAACUACUACAUUUUUUUUUCAGCUUUACCCUUUCCCAACAUCAAGGUAUUUUUAUUUGAAAGAUUUGUGCUGUUGCCAGUAUUGUUUUGUACCUUGCAUACCAUAAAGAGUAACUCAAUAUUUAGCUACAAUUUUUUUCUUUAUGUUAAUUUCCCUCUGGUGCUCGGGCAAUUUGCAGACUGUCUGAAUUUAAAAUGGCCAAUGAAUCUUAGAAAGUUAUUGUAUACAAUACCCUCACAAAAAGUAAAUUAAAUCAAUGAAGUACGUUGUAUCUUGGGUUUAUAACUGAAUCAUUUAGAACACAGGUUAUGAUUGAAGGCAGAAGAAAAUACAGAUUUCAUCAUCUUUUUUUCUGUUAUACCAGUACUUCAAAUAGCAACUUUUCAGCUGCUAUCACACUGCUAAUAAGAAAAACUAAAUCUUAAAAAAACCUUAGGUAUUUACAUUUUAAAAUGGUUGCACUCUCACCUGUAGGAUGUAGUUGGGUUAUGUUUUGUGGUGUCACACAUUAUCAGACUGACAUUUCGUAUAAUACCUAAUCCUCAUAAGGUUUGUUUGUAGGCAAAUUGCGUAUUUAUGUGUCUAGAUUCUUAAAUGAAUUUUUACUGAUGAAAUUUAAUGUCCCAAUUCAUUGAACAAAUAGUGAGCCAGUUUGUAAAUCUUUAAUUUGAACUACACUAAAAAGUACUAUAUUAUAUGCAGAAAUAGAUUUUGCAUGUUACAACUCCUAGUGCCCUUGGAUGAGCUGAUUUUUCAAGGUGGCAUAUAUCUGGUAUGAGAGACAUACUGGUUUUAGAUGCUGGGAAUAGUCAUACUUCAGUUUAAAAAAAUACUUAAUAAAUAUUUUUAUUUGUGGGUAUAGACUGGAGGUUAGAAUGAAAUAAUAAGUAAAAGCUAAAUAUCACUAUUAUUGCAUUUAUCUAACAGAUACAAUCACCAUCAUUUAGGUCUUCUGACAAAAUGGGGUGGAAUCAUCUAUUUCCAUCUAUUUCCAUACUUAUUCUUGAACAAUAUAUAUAAGGGAACUCCUGAGAAUCCUGAGCUAGGUUGAUAGUCAUAAGACCACCAGUGUUGUUUGUUCUGUUGGUUACCUUUUCCUUCUUAAAGGUUCUGGACAAGAGAGAAAAUGAAAAAGUUACACAAAAGUACGUGUUUUCCAGCAUUUUCAGUAGAUAAAGUAUAGACUAUUGUGCUCACUUCUGCUACACUGUAAUCUGUUCUACGAAAAAACUCAGAGGAAAGCUAAGCAGGUAAUAUUUUCAAAGAGCAUUAUGCAUGUGCUUAAUUAUGCUCUGUCAUUCUUAUUAAGAAAGUACUGAAUGAAGUACAAAGAAGUUUGUCAUUUCAGGUUGUCAAAAUGAAAUCACUUAAAGCAGAGCAGGUAAGCAAGAAGAAAACUAGAUUCAAGAGGAAGAAAACUAGAUUCAACAAGUGAAUCAAUUCAUUUGAUUUUGAUACUCAAACUGACUUUGCUACCAUAUGAAACAGAAAUGCUACAGCUGCUAUGUAAAAUUUUCAGUAUUUCUGAAAUUAUUCAAUAACUGUCAUGUAAGUCUUUUUAUGCUUGGAACACAAAGGCACAGUUUUUCACAUCAUGCCUUGAUUUUCAGUGGCGCUGUUUUGAGAAUAUCGUAUGUUAGUGAUGUAAUAUAUUGUUUCCUCUAUUACAGACAUUGUAUUCACAGCUUAUUUUUGACUAAGGAUGUGAAAUAAAUUCUCUAAAUGGCAAAGAUUUCAGAUAAACUUGGAAGUCACUAGAUUUCUUUUUUCACUAUGGAGAAGCUGAUACUUUUCAAGGACCUACUGAGAUUUUUGUUAACAAGCCAGAUUUUCAGUCCUUCUCAAAGAAAUCAGAAAGCAGGCAAAUUUUACUAAUAGUAAAACCUUUGACCAUGACAGUGGCAAUAUGGAGCAACCCAGACAACAAGAACUCGGGCAUCUUUCCAGAGUUUCUAUAAGAACUCACCAACUCCAGCAACUCCAGCUCAGUUACAGUCCAGUUACAUUUGAACUGAAGAUAAAUUCCAGUGUCUCUACACUAUAUUCACUAACACUUCAAAUUCUGGUCUACAUAAACACAUAGAGCCAGUUUCAUGUCAACUGUACUUGUGUUAAGACUUUCUUCAUCUAGAGUAUUGACGAAAAUGUUGCUGAGACCACCUGAAAAGUCAAGUCCAACAUCUUGAUAAGAAAAUUGUGUGACAAUACACUGUCCAAGGCUUCAGGUUUUCAUGAAUUAAUUGAAAAUAAUAACUCCUCCUAAACACCAGAGAUUCAGUACAUCUUUCAGAAUAUACCCAGCUGGACUGUGUUUCAUACCCCAAGGAUGUCUAUGCACCAAGCUUCUCUGUUCCAGGAAUGUGAUGCUGAGAUAAUUUGGCUUACUAGCUGACACUCCAGAUGUUUUUGAGCUAAUACUGGUAGACAAUGUUUGCAGGCUUUGUAGACUUCUAUCUCUGUCUCUGCAGAGGUUAAUCUCUAAUCUAGAUAAUGUCACAGGUAACUUGGAAUUAAAUGUAUAUAUCAUUAUACCAAAUGAGAAUUUGGGUUAUGAAGUUGUUACAUGCUGUUACAACAACAACAACAACAAUAAUAAAAGGUCCCUAAAUGGAUAGAUUUA